This 520-nucleotide ribosomal RNA is filed under the name uncultured bacterium. RNAcentral's name for it is "bacterial SSU rRNA". It matches the Rfam family "Bacterial small subunit ribosomal RNA", at positions 356 to 896 of the family's 1533-position model. The record is from RNAcentral.
GGGGAAUAUUGGACAAUGGGCGCANGCCUGAUCCAGCCAUGCCGCGUGAGUGAUGAAGGCCCUAGGGUUGUAAGCUCUUUUGUGCGGGAAGAUAAUGACGGUACCGCAAGAAUAAGCCCCGGCUGACUUCGUGCCAGCAGCCGCGGUAAUACGAAGGGGGCUAGCGUUGCUCGGAAUCACUGGGCGUAAAGGGUGCGUAGGCGGGUCUUUAAGUCAGGGGUGAAAUCCUGGAGCUCAACUCCAGAACUGCCUUUGAUACUGAGGAUCUUGAGUUCGGGAGAGGUGAGUGGAACUGCGAGUGUAGAGGUGAAAUUCGUAGAUAUUCGCAAGAACACCAGUGGCGAAGGCGGCUCACUGGCCAGUACUGACGCUCAUGCACGAAAGCGUGGGGAGCAAACAGGAUUAGAUACCCUGGUGGUCCACGCCCUAAACGAUGUCAACUGGUUGUUGGACGGCUUGCUGUUCAGUAACGAAGCUAACGCGUGAAGUUGACCGCCUGGGGAGUACGGCCGCAAGGUUG